UACGUAGGGACCAAGCGUUGUUCGGAUUUACUGGGCGUAAAGGGCGCGUAGGCGGCCAUUCAAGUCACUUGUGAAAUCUCCGAGCUUAACUCGGAACGGUCAAGUGAUACUGCUUUGCUAGAGUGCAGAAGGGGCAACCGGAAUUCUUGGUGUAGCGGUGAAAUGCGUAGAUAUCAAGAGGAACACCGGAGGUGAAGACGGGUUGCUGGGCUGACACUGACGCUGAGGCGCGAAAGCUAGGGUAGCAAACGGG
Molecule: ribosomal RNA, 253 nt
Filed under: uncultured bacterium
Lineage: Bacteria
Description: partial 16S ribosomal RNA
Rfam family: Bacterial small subunit ribosomal RNA
Source: RNAcentral